AACGAACGCUGGCGGCAUGCCUAACACAUGCAAGUCGAACGAGACCUUCGGGCCUAGUGGCGCACGGGUGCGUAACGCGUGGGAACCUGCCCUUAGGUUCGGAAUAACUCCCCGAAAGGGGUGCUAAUACCGGAUAAUGUCUUCGGACCAAAGAUUUAUCGCCUUUGGAUGGGCCCGCGUUGGAUUAGCUAGUUGGUAGGGUAAAAGCCUACCAAGGCGACGAUCCAUAGCUGGUCUGAGAGGAUGAUCAGCCACACUGGGACUGAGACACGGCCCAGACUCCUACGGGAGGCAGCAGUGGGGAAUAUUGGACAAUGGGCGAAAGCCUGAUCCAGCAGUGCCGCGUGAGUGAUGAAGGCCUUAGGGUUGUAAAGCUCUUUUACCCGGGAUGAUAAUGACAGUACCGGGAGAAUAAGCUCCGGCUAACUCCGUG
RNAcentral lists this ribosomal RNA (433 nucleotides) under uncultured bacterium. Its description in RNAcentral is "partial 16S ribosomal RNA". It matches the Rfam family "Bacterial small subunit ribosomal RNA", at positions 29 to 507 of the family's 1533-position model. The record is from RNAcentral.